Molecule: ribosomal RNA, 468 nt
Filed under: uncultured bacterium
Lineage: Bacteria
Description: partial 16S ribosomal RNA
Rfam family: Bacterial small subunit ribosomal RNA
Source: RNAcentral
GACGAACGCUGGCGGCGUGCUUAACACAUGCAAGUCGAACGGAAAGGCCCUGCUUUUGUGGGGUGCUCGAGUGGCGAACGGGUGAGUAACACGUGUGUAACCUGCCCUUGACUUUGUGAUAACUUCAGGAAACUGGGGCUAAUACCGGAUAUGAGCUCCUGCUGCAUGGUGGUGGUUGGAAAGUUUCGGCGGUGGGGGAUGGACUCGCGGCUUAUCAGCUUGUUUGUGGGGUAGUGGCUUACGAAGGCUUUGACGGGUAGCCGGCCUGAGAGGGUGACCGGCCACAUUGGGCCUGAGGUACGGACCAGACUCCUACGGGAGGCAGCAGUGGGGAAUAUUGCACAACGGGCGGAAGCCUGAUGAAGCAACGCCGCGUGCGGGAUGACGGCCUUCGGGUUGUAAACCGCUUUCGCAUGUGACGAAGAGUGAGUGACGGUAAUGGGUAAAGAAGCACCGGCUAACUACGUG